GUCACGGCAAUCCUCCUCCUCAGCCGUCGCCUCGCCCUCCGCGCUCCCAAUCGCCGCCCCCAAUCCCUCCUCAGCCGCUGCCGCCGUUACCCCCCGGCCGGCCACCAUGAUGCACAUGACCUUCUACUGGGGCAAGUCCGCCACGAUCCUCUUCGACGGCUGGCGCACCUCCACGUGGCUCGGCUACCUCCUCUCCCUCGUCGCCCUGCUCCUCGCCGCCGCCUUCUACCAGUACCUCGAGGCGCUCCGGAUCCGCGUCAAGCUCGCCGCGGGAGGGGGCGCGGGCAAGCAGCAGGCCCCCUCCAUCCCGCCGCCCGCCGGCUCCGACCCGUCGCGGGCGCCGCUCCUCGCGCCCGCCCUCGCCUUCGCCGCCGGGCGGUGGCCGGCGCGGGUGGCCGUGGCCGCGAUGUUCGGGGUCAACUCCGGCCUGGGAUACCUCCUCAUGCUCGCCGUCAUGUCGUUCAACGCCGGCGUGUUCAUCGCCGUCGUCGUGGGGCUUGCGCUCGGGUACCUCGCGUUCCGCAGCAGCGACGGGGAGGAUCUCGUCGUGGUCGACAACCCCUGCGCCUGCGCGUGAAGGCUCUACCGGAUGGGGUCGCCG
RNAcentral lists this long non-coding RNA (601 nucleotides) under Setaria viridis. RNAcentral's name for it is "long non-coding RNA (SVIR_LNC002181)". Lineage: Eukaryota; Viridiplantae; Streptophyta; Magnoliopsida; Poales; Poaceae. The record is from RNAcentral.